Molecule: ribosomal RNA, 497 nt
Filed under: uncultured bacterium
Lineage: Bacteria
Description: partial 16S ribosomal RNA
Rfam family: Bacterial small subunit ribosomal RNA
Source: RNAcentral
GAUGAACGCUGGCGGCGUGCCUAACACAUGCAAGUCGAGCGAACGGACGAUAAGCUUGCUUCUCUGAUGUUAGCGGCUGACGGGUGAGUAACACGUGGAUAACCUACCUAUAAGACUGGGAUAACUUCGGGAAACCGGAUCUAAUACUGGAUAAUAUUUUGAACCGCAUGGUUCAAAAGUGAAAGACGGUCUUGCUGUCUCUUAUAGAUGGAUCCGUGCUGCAUUAGCUAGUUGGUAAGGUAACGGCUUACCAAGGCAACGAUGCAUAGCCGACCUGAGAGGGUGAUCGGCCACACUGGAACUGAGACACGGUCCAGACUCCUACGGGAGGCAGCAGUAGGGAAUCUUCCGCAAUGGGCGCAAGCCUGACGGAGCAACGCCGCGUGAGUGAUGAAGGUCUUCGGAUCGUAAAACUCUGUUAUUAGGGAGGAAAAUAAGUGUAAGUAACUGUGCACAUCUUGACGUUACCUAAUCAGAAAGCCACGGCUAACUACGUG